Long non-coding RNA from Anolis carolinensis (green anole), 2360 nucleotides. RefSeq lists it as uncharacterized. The transcript is spliced from 2 exons. Lineage: Eukaryota; Metazoa; Chordata; Lepidosauria; Squamata; Anolidae. The record is from RefSeq and is a predicted model, not a curated record.
UGGCUUCAACUAGCCUUUGAAAGUAUUGGAGAAGUUGUUCUGUUGAUUUUUGGCAGUGAAUAUGCUAAGUGCUCUGAGAACUGUAGCUUGAGAGUUAUAAUUUUAAUCCAUGAAUAAUAGUUCUCAUUUUGGUCCUUUUCUCAGAUGGGAAUUGAACAAAAAUAAAGGCAAACCAUUUUACAUCACAAGGUUUGCCACAAUGUUUGUUUGUUUGUUAGGUCUCCUGUGUGGCUUUAACAUCUGCUUGACAAUCAAGUGCAUUGUUUGCUGUUGCCAAUUUGCAGUGAUGGGAACGAUCAACAUCAGUUAAAUACCUCAGCUGUUAAAACAGGGGUGGGCAACUUUCUGAGGCCAAAAGGCACACAUAACUCUGCUGCAUCUGGAAGGACUGCACCUCCACCCAUACCUCCAUAAAAAACCCACCAAAACAAAAUCUUUUCAUAAUAGCUAGGAGCCAUGGAAGCAAUUUAAUGGAGCUCCAAUCUACAUAGUUUUCAAAUUUGGAAAUAACUGCACUUAAAACAGCUUUGUGAGGACAGGACUGAAAAAAAUUCCCCAUCAGCCAUGGAAAGUGCAAGGGGCUUUUUAAAAUGGGCUAUGUAGGGAUGUUUGGCCAUGGGUGCACCAUGGGGUUUCCUAGAGAGCUUUUUGUGUGUGUCAGGAACUUGCAAAUCGCUUCUGGUGUGAGAGAAUUGGCCAUCUGCAAGGAUGUUGCCCAGGGGAUGCUUGGAUGUUUUGAUGUUUUACCGUCCUUUUGGGAGGCUUCUCUCAGAUCCCUCCUAGGGUGCUGCAUGCAUAUUUAAAAGCGAUAGGGAUACCUAUUAGAACAGGUGACAACUGUAGUCUUUUCAGAUUGUGUUUUAUCCUAGGUAAAGUUAGCAAAUAAGAGAGCAUUCAUGCUCAUUUAAUUCAGCUUCACAACAGGAGUUUCUUGUUAAAUUAUAAUUUGUAGCAGUAGUACAUUUGAAUACUGUACUAUAACAUGAAACAUUUCCUCUGCUGAUUUUUUAAAAAUAUGUGUAUCACACAGACUUGUUACCAGAAGGUCGGUUACUAAGUCUAUUACAGUCGGAAUGAUGGUCCGGUACAGCUCAGGUUAUAGUACAAAGUGAUAAAUCUCUGCAGUUUUCUGUUUAUCCCAAAUUGUCUGGCAGUACAGACUCAUAUAAUCCAAUUUAAAGCAGAAAACCUGGGAUCAGAAACUGGAUAUAGGGCCUGUCUGGAAGGGCCCAAAGAUGCUACAAGAUCCUUUUGCUUAGCAAUUCAAUGCAUGGUCACUUCAAACCAAUUGUAAUUGAACUCAAUAAAGAUUAACCCCUGAAAAGUGUGUAUAGGAUUUCAAUCACCAGAAAACUGCUAUAUGGACAGAAUGUAUGUGCAAGUGCUGACUAGACACACAGAUGCAUUUAUCUACGUGCUCAUAAGGCAAAACACACUUGCUCACACCGAACAGCACAGAUUGAAUUCUCAUAUAGAUACAUAAGUACUUUCUGUAUAAGAUAUUUUGUACUUAUUUUUUCUUCAAUAUAUUUAAUGGGCUUGUGGAUUAGGUAGUUAGGAAAUUUUAUAGGUUAUGAUAUUCCAUUGAGGUGGAGAUUUCCAUCACAGUUUUCACUCUUUGUAGUUAAGGUGUUACUUUUAAUAACAGGCUAAAUUUGAGUGUGACGUAAAUGGUGAAAUAAUUUAAAUAUUUCUAAGUGGGUGUAAUGCUUGUGAUGACAUGGUGUGGGUUAGGGAAAAAUCCCCUUACAGAGGAAAAAUGUGUAAGAGCCACACUUCUUUACUGCAGUUAAUCUACUUUUCCUAAAACCUUCCUGACACCCUCUUUUACUGAAGUGUAAAAUAUGUAUAAUCUUUUUUCUUCAAUCCCAAAUAACAAAAACAUGCUUAUUUUGAGAAGAGGAAUGUUACCACACACAGAGGGAUAAUAUUGUUGCAAUUCUAUCUUGGUCUUUUGAAGUCCUUAAGGAUUGUUUCAUUCUACUUGUGUAGGUUUCUCCCCAUCAUCAUUGUAUUACCUCUUGAUAGGCAAAUAACCUCCAUGCUGUAUGGAGUGUGGUCAUUAUUUGAAUCAUAAAAUCAUAGAGUUGGAAGAGAACUCACAGGCUAUCCAGUCCAACCCCCUGCCAAGAAACAGGAAAAUCACAUUCAAAGCACCCCCGACAGAUGGCCAUCCAGCCUUUGCUUAAAACUCCUCAAAGAUGGAGCCUCCACCAAGAUGCCAUCUUCCUCAUUCUAGUUGUCCAGUCAUCAUCUCAUUGCACAGUUCUAUGUCUUGUUUAAUUAAAUUGUCUUCAUUCAUAUCGAUCAGAUCCAGCUUUCUCCUAACCAGCUUGCAGGUGUCAUAGACUAGCACAUUC